UUAAGCGACUAAGCGUACACGGUGGAUGCCCUGGCAGUCAGAGGCGAUGAAGGACGUGCUAAUCUGCGAUAAGCGUCGGUAAGGUGAUAUGAACCGUUAUAACCGGCGAUUUCCGAAUGGGGAAACCCAGUGUGUUUCGACACACUAUCAUUAACUGAAUCCAUAGGUUAAUGAGGCGAACCGGGGGAACUGAAACAUCUAAGUACCCCGAGGAAAAGAAAUCAACCGAGAUUCCCCCAGUAGCGGCGAGCGAACGGGGAGGAGCCCAGAGUCUGAAUCAGUGUGUGUGUUAGUGGAAGCGUCUGGAAAGGCGCGCGAUACAGGGUGACAGCCCCGUACACAAAAAUGCACAUACUGUGAGCUCGAUGAGUAGGGCGGGACACGUGGUAUCCUGUCUGAAUAUGGGGGGACCAUCCUCCAAGGCUAAAUACUCCUGACUGACCGAUAGUGAACCAGUACCGUGAGGGAAAGGCGAAAAGAACCCCGGCGAGGGGAGUGAAAAAGAACCUGAAACCGUGUACGUACAAGCAGUGGGAGCCUCUUUUAUGGGGUGACUGCGUACCUUUUGUAUAAUGGGUCAGCGACUUAUAUUCUGUAGCAAGGUUAACCGAAUAGGGGAGCCGAAGGGAAACCGAGUCUUAACUGGGCGUUAAGUUGCAGGGUAUAGACCCGAAACCCGGUGAUCUAGCCAUGGGCAGGUUGAAGGUUGGGUAACACUAACUGGAGGACCGAACCGACUAAUGUUGAAAAAUUAGCGGAUGACUUGUGGCUGGGGGUGAAAGGCCAAUCAAACCGGGAGAUAGCUGGUUCUCCCCGAAAGCUAUUUAGGUAGCGCCUCGUGAAUUCAUCUCCGGGGGUAGAGCACUGUUUCGGCAAGGGGGUCAUCCCGACUUACCAACCCGAUGCAAACUGCGAAUACCGGAGAAUGUUAUCACGGGAGACACACGGCGGGUGCUAACGUCCGUCGUGAAGAGGGAAACAACCCAGACCGCCAGCUAAGGUCCCAAAGUCAUGGUUAAGUGGGAAACGAUGUGGGAAGGCCCAGACAGCCAGGAUGUUGGCUUAGAAGCAGCCAUCAUUUAAAGAAAGCGUAAUAGCUCACUGGUCGAGUCGGCCUGCGCGGAAGAUGUAACGGGGCUAAACCAUGCACCGAAGCUGCGGCAGCGACGCUUAUGCGUUGUUGGGUAGGGGAGCGUUCUGUAAGCCUGUGAAGGUGUGCUGUGAGGCAUGCUGGAGGUAUCAGAAGUGCGAAUGCUGACAUAAGUAACGAUAAAGCGGGUGAAAAGCCCGCUCGCCGGAAGACCAAGGGUUCCUGUCCAACGUUAAUCGGGGCAGGGUGAGUCGACCCCUAAGGCGAGGCCGAAAGGCGUAGUCGAUGGGAAACAGGUUAAUAUUCCUGUACUUGGUGUUACUGCGAAGGGGGGACGGAGAAGGCUAUGUUGGCCGGGCGACGGUUGUCCCGGUUUAAGCGUGUAGGCUGGUUUUCCAGGCAAAUCCGGAAAAUCAAGGCUGAGGCGUGAUGACGAGGCACUACGGUGCUGAAGCAACAAAUGCCCUGCUUCCAGGAAAAGCCUCUAAGCAUCAGGUAACAUCAAAUCGUACCCCAAACCGACACAGGUGGUCAGGUAGAGAAUACCAAGGCGCUUGAGAGAACUCGGGUGAAGGAACUAGGCAAAAUGGUGCCGUAACUUCGGGAGAAGGCACGCUGAUAUGUAGGUGAAGUCCCUUGCGGAUGGAGCUGAAAUCAGUCGAAGAUACCAGCUGGCUGCAACUGUUUAUUAAAAACACAGCACUGUGCAAACACGAAAGUGGACGUAUACGGUGUGACGCCUGCCCGGUGCCGGAAGGUUAAUUGAUGGGGUCAGCGCAAGCGAAGCUCUUGAUCGAAGCCCCGGUAAACGGCGGCCGUAACUAUAACGGUCCUAAGGUAGCGAAAUUCCUUGUCGGGUAAGUUCCGACCUGCACGAAUGGCGUAAUGAUGGCCAGGCUGUCUCCACCCGAGACUCAGUGAAAUUGAACUCGCUGUGAAGAUGCAGUGUACCCGCGGCAAGACGGAAAGACCCCGUGAACCUUUACUAUAGCUUGACACUGAACAUUGAGCCUUGAUGUGUAGGAUAGGUGGGAGGCUUUGAAGUGUGGACGCCAGUCUGCAUGGAGCCGACCUUGAAAUACCACCCUUUAAUGUUUGAUGUUCUAACGUUGGCCCCUAAUCGGGGUUGCGGACAGUGUCUGGUGGGUAGUUUGACUGGGGCGGUCUCCUCCUAAAGAGUAACGGAGGAGCACGAAGGUUGGCUAAUCCUGGUCGGACAUCAGGAGGUUAGUGCAAUGGCAUAAGCCAGCUUGACUGCGAGCGUGACGGCGCGAGCAGGUGCGAAAGCAGGUCAUAGUGAUCCGGUGGUUCUGAAUGGAAGGGCCAUCGCUCAACGGAUAAAAGGUACUCCGGGGAUAACAGGCUGAUACCGCCCAAGAGUUCAUAUCGACGGCGGUGUUUGGCACCUCGAUGUCGGCUCAUCACAUCCUGGGGCUGAAGUAGGUCCCAAGGGUAUGGCUGUUCGCCAUUUAAAGUGGUACGCGAGCUGGGUUUAGAACGUCGUGAGACAGUUCGGUCCCUAUCUGCCGUGGGCGCUGGAGAACUGAGGGGGGCUGCUCCUAGUACGAGAGGACCGGAGUGGACGCAUCACUGGUGUUCGGGUUGUCAUGCCAAUGGCACUGCCCGGUAGCUAAAUGCGGAAGAGAUAAGUGCUGAAAGCAUCUAAGCACGAAACUUGCCCCGAGAUGAGUUCUCCCUGACUCCUUGAGAGUCCUGAAGGAACGUUGAAGACGACGACGUUGAUAGGCCGGGUGUGUAAGCGCAGCGAUGCGUUGAGCUAACCGGUACUAAUGAACCGUGAGGCUUAACCUU
This 2902-nucleotide ribosomal RNA is filed under the name Escherichia coli. Its description in RNAcentral is "23S ribosomal RNA". It matches the Rfam family "Bacterial large subunit ribosomal RNA". Lineage: Bacteria; Pseudomonadati; Pseudomonadota; Gammaproteobacteria; Enterobacterales; Enterobacteriaceae. The record is from RNAcentral.